CAGUCGCCGCGGGAAUACGUAGGGUGCAAGCGUUAAUCGGAAUUACUGGGCGUAAAGCGUGCGCAGGCGGUUCGUUAAGACAGAUGUGAAAUCCCCGGGCUUAACCUGGGAACUGCAUUUGUGGCUGGCGGGCUAGAGUAUGGCAGAGGGGGGUAGAAUUCCACGUGUAGCAGUGAAAUGCGUAGAGAUGUGGAGGAAUACCGAUGGCGAAGGCAGCCCCCUGGGCCAAUACUGACGCUCAUGCACGAAAGCGUGGGGAGCAAACAGGAUUAGAUACCCCCGUAGUCCCUGUCUCUUAUAC
RNAcentral lists this ribosomal RNA (301 nucleotides) under uncultured bacterium. RNAcentral describes it as "partial 16S ribosomal RNA". It matches the Rfam family "Bacterial small subunit ribosomal RNA", at positions 509 to 807 of the family's 1533-position model. The record is from RNAcentral.